Molecule: ribosomal RNA, 486 nt
Filed under: uncultured bacterium
Lineage: Bacteria
Description: partial 16S ribosomal RNA
Rfam family: Bacterial small subunit ribosomal RNA
Source: RNAcentral
AUUGAACGCUGGCGGCAUGCCUUACACAUGCAAGUCGAACGGCAGCACGGGUGCUUGCCCCUGGUGGCGAGUGGCGAACGGGUGAGUAAUACAUCGGAACAUGUCCUGUAGUGGGGGAUAGCCCGGCGAAAGCCGGAUUAAUACCGCAUACGAUCUACGGAUGAAAGCGGGGGACCUUCGGGCCUCGCGCUAUAGGGUUGGCCGAUGGCUGAUUAGCUAGUUGGUGGGGUAAAGGCCUACCAAGGCGACGAUCAGUAGCUGGUCUGAGAGGACGACCAGCCACACUGGGACUGAGACACGGCCCAGACUCCUACGGGAGGCAGCAGUGGGGAAUUUUGGACAAUGGGCGAAAGCCUGAUCCAGCAAUGCCGCGUGUGUGAAGAAGGCCUUCGGGUUGUAAAGCACUUUUGUCCGGAAAGAAAUCCUUGGCCCUAAUACGGUCGGGGGAUGACGGUGCCGGAAGAAUAAGCACCGGCUAACUACGUG